CNNCNCGUGUUAAUCAUGCCAGUCGAGCGGACAGAUGGGAGCUUGCUCCCUGAUGUUAGCGGCGGACGGGUGAGUAACACGUGGGUAACCUGCCUGUAAGACUGGGAUAACUCCGGGAAACCGGGGCUAAUACCGGAUGGUUGUCUGAACCGCAUGGUUCAGACAUAAAAGGUGGCUUCGGCUACCACUUACAGAUGGACCCGCGGCGCAUUAGCUAGUUGGUGAGGUAACGGCUCACCAAGGCGACGAUGCGUAGCCGACCUGAGAGGGUGAUCGGCCACACUGGGACUGAGACACGGCCCAGACUCCUACGGGAGGCAGCAGUAGGGAAUCUUCCGCAAUGGACGAAAGUCUGACGGAGCAACGCCGCGUGAGUGAUGAAGGUUUUCGGAUCGUAAAGCUCUGUUGUUAGGGAAGAACAAGUGCCGUUCAAAUAGGGCGGCACCUUGACGGUACCUAACCAGAAAGCCACGGCUAACUACGUGCCAGCAGCCGCGGUAAUACGUAGGUGGCAAAGCGUUGUCCGGAAUUAUUGGGCGUAAAGGGCUCGCAGGCGGUUUCUUAAGUCUGAUGUGAAAAGCCCCCGGCUUCAACCGGGGAGGGUCAUUGGAAACUGGGGGAACUUUGAGUUGCAGAAGAGGAGAAGUGGAAUUCCACGUGUAGCGGGUGAAAUGCGUAAGAUGUGGAGGAACCCCAU
RNAcentral lists this ribosomal RNA (697 nucleotides) under Bacillus sp. SWA12. RNAcentral describes it as "bacterial SSU rRNA". It matches the Rfam family "Bacterial small subunit ribosomal RNA", at positions 40 to 712 of the family's 1533-position model. Lineage: Bacteria; Bacillati; Bacillota; Bacilli; Caryophanales; Bacillaceae. The record is from RNAcentral.